Molecule: long non-coding RNA, 5417 nt
Organism: Ficedula albicollis (Collared flycatcher)
Lineage: Eukaryota; Metazoa; Chordata; Aves; Passeriformes; Muscicapidae
Source: Ensembl
AUGCCUUACAGUAGAAAAAGGAGGAAACAAAUUCCCAGCGCGCUGUCAGACGUGUCCCUUCAGACCAACCUGCCUCAUGAUUGCCACGGUGAGCCAAGUCCUGGUGGAAAUGAGGAGCAGCCUGAGCAGCUGGGGGUGGCAUACAAGGACCUUGUGACAGGGAAAGGACUUGGACUGAAAGGAACAUUUUACAAAAGAUUGUUGAUUCUGCUGGGAUGGAUCAAAGCUAGAGCUGUAACAUUGAGGGAAGAGAAUUCAAAUAGAAAGGAAAAAGUGAAGGCAUCUGGGACACACAAUAAAUGCAUCACUUUAGCUAUGAUUUUUCACUUGUUUUACCCUGUUCAUAGGAAGAAAUUCUUCCCUGUGAGGGUGGGGAGCCCCUGGCACAGGGUGCCCAGGAAAGCUGUGGCUGUUCCAUCCCUGGCAGUGCCCAAGGCCAGGUUGGACACUGGGGCUUGGAGCAGCCUGGGGCAGUGGAAUGUGUCCCUGCCCACGGCUGGGGAGUUACAAAUAUGUGAACAUAUCUCCAAUCUAUCCACAAAUAAAAUCAGUGGACUGUGCUGGGCCAACCACACAGGAGGAAACUGGACCUAAUGAACAUUACACUCUACUCUUGUGUUAUUUCUUAUCUUUGUACAACUUGAAAGUGAAGUUUGGAGUCCAGGUACAGAUUAUAUUGAAUGUACAGCAUGGAAAAUCCUCCCCAGUCAAUUAUCCCCAACAUUCAUAUCUGAGGGGGAGCAAUCUUUUUUGUGGAUGGUCAUUGGAAAGAACACAAUGCCUUCAACUCCACUGAAAAUACUUCCCUAUGGAAAAGCUACACUCCAAAAAACCCCUUCAAACUUGCUGGUGGAACUUUUCUGGUUGUAUCUUCCUGGAAUUUGGAUACCUUGGUCAGAAUUGCAUCCAAUUCAACUAAGACCAUCCAUGUCAGCCAGACUUGGCCCAGCACUGGGAUGAAAAGAGGGAGACUCUGGAUAAGGAAGAGGAUUUUUGGAGCAGUUAAUAACUGAGCUGUGGUCCUUGGCUACAGCACAGUGAAUGUAAGAGUUGGUUGGCCCAGAAAGUUGAUCAGGGGUCACCUUUUCAUCUCCCCAGAGCAGAAAGCACCAGCAGCCUUCGCUCAGCUGGCGGCCAGUUGAAAAGGAAAAAACAGAUUGUCAUUUUUUUGGGCAGCAGCACUUGCCAGCCUCAGCUGCAGCCAGUGGUGAGAUCCCUUGUUGCCUGAGGAAGUGUCCAGCAGAGCUGCAGGAACACAGAGUACGGAGGAAGGGCUGGCUCUCUGUAUUCCUGGGGCUUGGGAAUGCUCUGCCUGGCAGCCGGGUCAGCACAAACCCAACCACGAUUUCUCCCGGCAGAAAAAGAGAAAAGGAGCAAGAAUCAAACUUUGUGAACCUGCAACUAGAGGGGUGUGGCAGGAGGGAGAGGAAGAGGAGUGCUAAUUUGGCCGGGGCACCCCUGGCAGAAGCCCUUGCCAGGACAACAGGAAAGGCUCAGCAAACACAAAGCAAUGGGGAAUAAAGCAAAUAUUUCAGCUCGGGGUGGAAGCGCUGAUGCUCCAAUCACUGGGGCCACAAUAGUGAUGGGUUAUUUUUAUUUCCUUGAAGGAAGUGGGAAAAGGACAGAAAAGGGGAACUUUAUCACCUCCCACCCUCAACAGGUGUGCAGGGAGGGCAGAGGGAGCUCCCAGCACCCCGGUGGCUGCUGAGCUCCUCCCCGGGUUCACUGGGCAAUGCUUGGUGUUACUUGCAGGCAGUAAUUGACAGCGGCAGCUUAAUUAAACAAAAACAGCAAGACAGUUUCAUGCUAAAAAGGGCAGGCAACAAUAAUUUUCCAGAAAUGGAUCCUUCCAGCUUUCACUGAGGAUAAACACUCAGAGCCCUUGCAAAUUCUGAUAAGUGACUUCGAGCCCGUGUUGUUAUCUUGCUGCUUUUUUUUUUUUUAUAAUACUGUGAAGUUGUUGGAAGGAAUAAAAAGAGCCAGAAAUCUUUAUUAUUCUUCCUAAGGGAUUCAUUGCAUUCUGCUUUGCAUUGCUUCAUCUUAUUACCAAUUUUCAUUGUACAUGCUUUUAAUAAAUACUUAUUGCUAUAAAGAUAAUAACAUUCUUAUCACAUUAAUGGCUUUGCAGUGGUGUAAAUGAAAAUGAAUAUUAAUAAUGUUAACAGUAACCUUGAUACAGUAGAACACCAGUAACUGGGAAAUCUUUGAGUGUUUUACAGUACAAGAAACCUUUAUUUUCUGGUUUUACUCUGCCAGUAAUGGAAGAGAAAGUAGGAGAGACAGAAAUUUAGAUAUUUGUGGAAAAGGCUUGGUGAUUAUUUCCCAUUAUAGAGCACUGCAGUCUGGUUUAUUAAAAAUAUCUUCUCAUCCCCAAUCCUUCCCUGAGGUAUUUCUGCUGCCUACCAGCCCUGCAAUGAAUGAGUGCAGACACCAUAUGGGCACUUGUCUUCCAGCCUGUGUGUGGGUCUUUUGGGGCUCUGCUCAGAUUCCAGCAGAUGGGUCAGACUGACAUUUCUUUCCUGAACCAGCAAAGAAAAAACCAAAAAAGCAGUGGAGUUACACUGCCAUUCUAGGCAGUUCUGCAUCUCCUCUUCUGAAAAGCUGAAUGAAUCAGCCACAGGGAAUUUUGCUCUCUUUUGAAUUGCGUCCCUUUGCAUGAAAGAAAAAGUCACCUGCGAGUAAAUCAUCAAAGAUGUUAUUUUUGCAUGCCUGUACAUUUCCCAAGCAUUCUCCUUUCUUCAUAUGCAGGCUGAAUUUGAGAUUGGGAGCACAUGGAGCUGAGCACCAAAGCUUUUUUUUGCAUGAUUUUCUUUCACCUGUGUUGGCCAAAAUACUCCAACAGGAGCCACUGAUACCAGUGGUUGUAUGUUCUGCAGCACAGAAUAAUCAAUUCUGAGCAAAGAGCUCUGUGUUAGCACAGCAUGAGAGGAAUUCCAGUGUGCUGGGAGUGCAGACAGAGGCAAUGAGUAUUGCAAGAUUUCCAGUCCUAAGCAGAGAUUUCAAACUGUAAAGCCAAGGGUUUACAUGAGGUUAAGCCUUGAGAUUUUCAAGUCUGAAAGAUUUGAUAAUGUCAAAGUUAUUGUCUUUACUUGGCUGAGCCCUGUCACACUGCUCAUUUGCUUUCAUAGUUUGGGGACAUUUUUACACACUAAGGCAUAAAUUUAACAGAAUAAACAGCAAUGUAAAAAACUACAGAUGGUGGUUGCAGAGCAGCCAAGCAUUGGCUCCAAUGGUGAAUUUAACUUCAGGGCUCCCUGCUUUAGCAGAUGGCAGAUUUCAGACCUGACUUUGCAUUGAUGCAACUUUCUUAAGUGCAAUCUUUUGGUGAGGGGAUCAAAUUCACAUAGAUUUUGCUUUAGCUGAUGGUGCCAUUGCCUCAAACAUCAAAUGUAUGUGUGGGUAUGUAACUCAUCUCAUCUCAGAUGUUUGGGUUUGGGUUUUCAGUUUGGGGAAGGCAGCUGGAUUCUACAACAGGAUGGAGAGUGUCAGCCAACACCUGGUGACAGAAGUUACAAGACAUGAAAUGAAGAAUUCAUUUUAUAUGAUCACGUAGAAUAAAGUAUUGCUCUGCUUCUGACUGGAGAUGGAAAUAAGGAAAUGUGGCUGUAGCACUGCAGAAACCUGCAUUAACUCCAUCAGUGACUCCUGCAGAGCCUGAGGAACUGUGCAAGAGCCUGACCUUGUCAACAUAUCCUUCUUUUCCAGCUCAUUGUGACAGUGCUCCUAUCACUGGCUAUAAAUGAAAAGUAGAUGCAUUUUACAGGAAUAUGCAGAUCCCAGCAGGCACAUUCACCUCUCUAUGCUAGCACCACUAAUUUGUGCCUCUCCAUCACUCUGAUUUACAGCAGUCCUCAAAAUGCAGACUAAGGCCUCUCAGUAGUGUUUACCUCACUGUCACUUUGUCACUUUGUCUCGCUCCCAUGCCUCCAAGCAGGCAGAAGCUGGCAGCCACUGUCUCCAGCAUAAAAGUGGAUUGAAUAGACUAAAAGUGGCCAAAGGGUAUUGUGGAAACCAGAGGUGUGAAGGAAAGUGGCCAGCUCUCCAAAGAGAAUGAGGAAAGAUGGCAAAGCAGCCUUGGAGGGUUAAUGCAGCAUCCAGUGCCCACAAAUAGCACCAUCAUUUCACCACCCAGAAACACUCCAGGGAAAUAAACAUUUCUCAUCAUUGCCAGGAAAGCCGAAUCAUUAAGGAAGAGAAUGAUGAUGAAAUGCAGAAAGUCUUGCUUCUUGAGCACAGCACAUUAGUUUCUGGGGCAUGAAGCUCAUUUGUAAUAGGGAUCUAAUUCAUAUAAUCAACACCAAGGCUAAACACUGAAGAGAAGAUUUUCUGAAAUAAAGAUUGAUUUCUUUGCCAGUCUUUCCAUGCUAAACGCAGUCCCAAAUUGCAUUUCUGUGUCCAGGAGCGAGUGUUUAGAAGCCUAAAUACCCAUUUGUGCAUACCAAUGGGCAGCUUGCCUGUGCAACCCGAAGAAAAGCAAGAGAAGGGAUGGGUUUUCCAAAUCUCAACUCCCUGGUGGUGCUUCUUGGCUCUGGCUGUGAGCAGAACUGGCUCAGAAUGCCUGUCUGUCCUCAGUGUUCCUGGGCAGGAUCCACAGGGCACUGAAGUGCCCCAUGGCACCGCUCCGAGCCCUUUGGAUCGGGGUGAGGCUCUGGCUCCUUCUCAUCUGCUGUCACAGCAAUGCCUGACUUCAAUAUUUCCCUCUUCACCACAAGAUCUCAAAGCCCUUUUCAAGCCUUAUUAAGGUUCUCAUCACACUCAGGGAUGAUGCAGAGGUCCUAAUGACAAGGAAGAAUGAGGACAAGAGAAGUGACUUGCUCAAUGUCACACGAUUGCAACCCAGAGACUGCAACAGGGAGAUCUGAGCCUCAGUAGUUUGCUCUGAGCCCUAAUGAAUACUAAUGACUGGCCAUAUUGAUAAUUCACAGUGCUUCCACUGGGUUUAACACACACAAAGCGCUGCCCAAACGCUCAUUCUUUCACCCUCAGUGAUCACUGGGGCUCUGCAUGGUGCUCAGCCCACGACCCACUCCACUUUGCAGAUGUGGAAAAACCACAGAGUUAAUCAGAUGUUGCUCCACCAGAGGAAGCUGAGCGUGGAAGUGGUUGCAGGAUGAGGCAUGAAGGAGAUGUUCACAGUGUCUGGUUUCUGGCAUGUCACCCAGUGCCUGAUGGAGGGGUGCUGGAGCUGAGAACUUGGUUCCCCUGACUGCCAGAAGAGGAGCAAGCUCCAGUAGAAGCCCAUUCAAAGCAUCUGAGUUAGAAGCUGUUUCCCUCUGCUGAGCCUCUGGAGAGAUGAGCAUUAAAGGUCUCCAGCUAGACAUGUGAAUAUUCUCCCUUAAGUGCUUAUUAUUAUUCCCAUUUUGCAGGUGGGUGAACUGGAAAGGACAGGGCUGUGCUAAAUUAAGCGAGCUGCCCGC